Molecule: long non-coding RNA, 533 nt
Organism: Carassius auratus (goldfish)
Lineage: Eukaryota; Metazoa; Chordata; Actinopteri; Cypriniformes; Cyprinidae
Exons: 3
Source: RefSeq, a predicted model, not a curated record
UCAUGUGGUGGCGCUGUGGCUCCUGUUUGGCCGCAUUGAUUGAAAGACUGGAAAUGGAGAGAAACGCAGAACUUAAUCCAUUGGCAUCAGAUCCUGGCAAGAAACUCAGUGGAAAACGAAAAGCACUCCAUGAUAUAUGUAGCAGGUAAAAUUCUUAAAGGACAUUCAGAAGCAAUAUACUGUUUAACAUUCCUGCCAGCCCACCAAAAAUAAGGAAGAUUCCAGGACACUUUAAAUGGGAAAUGGAUUGGAGCGAGAGAGAGAGAGAGAGAGAGAGGAAAGACAGGAUAGAGAGAGACAACUGGACCUGCUGUAUCUGAUGAGUUGAUCUGUCAUGAAGCGUUGGGCUUGUAGGAUUUAAUGCAUGUGAAAGGUUCUGACAUCUUUCAUCUUGGAUCCACAUGAAGUAGAACAGACUUUUUUCUUCUCAUUGACAGGGCUGGAGAAGUGGAGUUUCACUGGACCUCUGUGGCUCCAUCUGCUGAAAUAUUCAUCUUUAGUAGUAAUUGAGAGGCAGAAAGGGAGAACAAAAC